GGGGAAUUUUCCGCAAUGGGCGAAAGCCUGACGGAGCAAUACCGCGUGAGGGAUGACGGCCUAUGGGUUGUAAACCUCUUUUUUCAGGGAGGAAUCAAUGACGUGUACCUGAAGAAUAAGCAUCGGCUAACUCCGUGCCAGCAGCCGCGGUAAGACGGAGGAUGCAAGUGUUAUCCGGAAUCACUGGGCGUAAAGCGUCUGUAGGUGGUCUAAUAAGUCAACUGUUAAAUCUUGAGGCUCAACCUCAAAAUCGCAGUCGAAACUAUUAGACUAGAGUAUAGUAGGGGUAAAGGGAAUUUCCAGUGGAGCGGUGAAAUGCGUAGAGAUUGGAAAGAACACCGAUGGCGAAGGCACUUUACUGGGCUAUUACUAACACUCAGAGACGAAAGCUAGGGUAGCAAAAGGGAUAGAUACCCCUGU
This 420-nucleotide ribosomal RNA is filed under the name uncultured bacterium. RNAcentral's name for it is "bacterial SSU rRNA". It matches the Rfam family "Bacterial small subunit ribosomal RNA", at positions 356 to 791 of the family's 1533-position model. The record is from RNAcentral.